Molecule: ribosomal RNA, 380 nt
Filed under: uncultured eukaryote
Lineage: Eukaryota
Description: partial 18S ribosomal RNA
Rfam family: Eukaryotic small subunit ribosomal RNA
Source: RNAcentral
CAAUAGCGUAUAUUAAAGUUGUUGUGGUUAAAAAGCUCGUAGUUGGAUUUCUGCCGAGGACGACCGGUCCGCCCUCCGGGUGAGUAUCUGGCUCGGCCUGGGCAUCUUCUUGGAGAACGUAGCUGCACUUGGCUGUGUGGUGCGGUAUUCAGGACUUUUACUUUGAGGAAAUUAGAGUGUUUCAAGCAGGCACACGCCUUGAAUACAUUAGCAUGGAAUAAUAAGAUAGGACCUCGGUUCUAUUUUGUUGGUUUCUAGAUCUGAGGUAAUGAUUAAUAGGGAUAGUUGGGGGCAUUCGUAUUUAACUGUCAGAGGCGAAAUUCUUGGAUUUGUUAAAGACGGACUACUGCGAAAGCAUUUGCCAAGGAUGUUUUCAUUGA